Long non-coding RNA from Callorhinchus milii (elephant shark), 900 nucleotides. RefSeq lists it as uncharacterized. The transcript is spliced from 3 exons. The record is from RefSeq and is a predicted model, not a curated record. Lineage: Eukaryota; Metazoa; Chordata; Chondrichthyes; Chimaeriformes; Callorhinchidae.
GCCAACUAUAACAAUCAAUCACAUGCAUAGUCACACAAGUUGAGAACAGGCCAAUCCUUCAUCAAACACAGUUACAAUACAUCUCUUUCACGUUUCCCCACAGUGGAUUUGAUUUAUUUUAGUCCUGAUAACCGCUUUCACAUUUUUUCCCUUGAAUUUAAGCAGAAGAACUAGUCUGUAAAGAGCAUAAUAAAUAGUCCCUGCGUUGCCGACCGACCACUCCAUGACCUCAGAAGACAUCUUCGAGGGACACAGCAGAGGGGCCUGGAAUGUAACCUUAUCAACAAAACAGCAAUGCGUUUUCUGUGGCAAACCCUCACUGAGUUUUAACACUAAUUUGAAAAAAAAAUUCUGAAACGUGUAUCCAGAUUUGCCUCUUCUGGAAACACAUCAAAAGGUAUGUGCCAAUUUUCAUCUCUCUUGUCCAUCUUGAAGCCGGCUGCUCCUGGGCACUUCAGCUAUAUUUAUGAGCAAGCUGCUGGGCAGUGUGCAGAAUUGGCCCUCCAGCAAAUCUCCCUCCCAUUCCUCCCUUCACCCACACAGAUGUCCUUGGCAGCUUCCCCUGUAGCAGUGUGGUUGUGAUCCAGAACUGAAUGUCAAGGGGCAAAUGAAUCUGCUUCACUGACCACAUGGUGCUGUGUCUUGCUGUUCCUAACAUCUUCUGCCACUGCAAUUAACUCCAUUUUGAGGUAGUUUUCUCAAAAUCGCUUCCUCUAUCUCCGAAAUGAUCACCUUGAAGAAGUAUUAGGAUGUUUCUCUCAUUAUGCAGCUCCACUUCUACUCUGAGAAAUAUGGCCUUGUCUAAAAGUAGAUGAAGUACACACAGCGCAGUGAACAUAGCUUCAGAGGAGAAACAACGGCUGCAAUCCUUUUGGAUUAUUACCAGGCAUGUGGAGUAAG